RNAcentral lists this ribosomal RNA (478 nucleotides) under uncultured bacterium. RNAcentral's name for it is "bacterial SSU rRNA". It matches the Rfam family "Bacterial small subunit ribosomal RNA", at positions 28 to 507 of the family's 1533-position model. The record is from RNAcentral.
GACGAACGCUGGCGGCGUGCUUAACACAUGCAAGUCGAACGUGAUCCGUGCCAUGAAGUCUUCGGAUGGAAUGGUAUGGUGAAAGUGGCGGACGGGCGAGUAACGCGUGAGCAACCUGCCCUAUGCAGGGGGAUAACACUGGGAAACCGGUGCUAAUACCGCAUAAGACCACACCAACGCAUGUUGGAGUGGUAAAAGCUGAGGCGGCAUAGGAUGGGCUCGCGUCCAAUUAGCUAGUUGGUAGGGUAACGGCCUACCAAGGCGACGAUUGGUAGCCGAACUGAGAGGUUGGUCGGCCGCAUUGGGACUGAGACACGGCCCAGACUCCUACGGGAGGCAGCAGUGGGGAAUAUUGCGCAAUGGGGGAAACCCUGACGCAGCGACGCCGCGUGAAGGAAGAAGGCCUUCGGGUUGUAAACUUCUUUGAUCGGGGACGAAGAUGACGGUACCCGAGGAACAAGCCACGGCUAACUACGUG